ACUCCUACGGGAGGCAGCAGUGGGGAAUGUUGCACAAUGGCCGAAAGGCUGACGCAGCGACGCCGCGUGUGGGAGGACGCCUUUCGGGGUGUAAACCACUGUUGCCCGGGACGAACAGCCUUAUUCAUAAGGUCUGACGGUACCGGGUGAGGAAGCACCGGCUAACUCCGUGCCAGCAGCCGCGGUAAUACGGAGGGUGCGAGCGUUGUCCGGAAUCAUUGGGCGUAAAGGGCGCGUAAGUGGCGCGGUAAGCGUGCGGUGAAAGCUCGGGGCUCAACCCCGGGUCGGCCGUGCGAACUACUGGGCUUGAGCACUGUAGAGGCAGGCGGAAUUCC
This 335-nucleotide ribosomal RNA is filed under the name uncultured bacterium. RNAcentral's name for it is "bacterial SSU rRNA". It matches the Rfam family "Bacterial small subunit ribosomal RNA", at positions 335 to 670 of the family's 1533-position model. The record is from RNAcentral.